Molecule: unclassified non-coding RNA, 384 nt
Filed under: soil metagenome
Description: partial contains 5.8S ribosomal RNA, internal transcribed spacer 2, and large subunit ribosomal RNA
Rfam family: 5.8S ribosomal RNA (bases 1-120)
Source: RNAcentral
GAUGAAGAACGUAGCGAAAUGCGAUAAGUAAUGUGAAUUGCAGAAUUCAGUGAAUCAUCGAAUCUUUGAACGCACCUUGCACCCUUUGGCAUUCCGAAGGGUAUGCUCGUUUGAGUGUCAUUGUACUCUCACUCUCCCGAUGCUUUUGGAUCGGGAGUGGUGGACUUGGGUGUUGCUGCUUUGCUGUGGCUCGCCUCAAAUGGAGUAGUGCAACUCUUGGUUGGACAUAGUACGGCGUGAUAAGUGUCUUCGCCGGCGACUCAUUAUAGAGGGUGGCCGAUCGGGAGCUCUGUGCUUCAAACCGUCUUCGGACAACAUCUGACAACUUGACCUCAAAUCGAGUAGGACUACCCGCUGAACUUAAGCAUAUCAAUAAGCGGAGGA